Molecule: long non-coding RNA, 828 nt
Filed under: Hordeum vulgare
Lineage: Eukaryota; Viridiplantae; Streptophyta; Magnoliopsida; Poales; Poaceae
Description: long non-coding RNA (HVUL_LNC007883)
Source: RNAcentral
GGGCUGUUAUAUUACUUUGUGGUACCAUAUUUCAAAUUGAUGAUGGAUUCAAUUACAAGGAGGGCGUAACUCGCCUGACCUAGCUCUCGAUUAUUUAUAACUCGCCCUAUCUGCCCCAGAGACUCGCCUUUAUAUACAGGUUGAGGCCCUAGGGUUUACAAAAGUCCUAGCCACGCUACAGAUCAUGGUCUUCCAUAUCUCCAAGUCGCCGUGCUUUCCAAGACUGGAAACCCCCUUGGCGGCUUAUCUUCUGCAUCAAUCCUGAACCGCCAUCCGGUUCAUGGGCCCCUGGGAUAAGGCUUGCAUUAACCAUGCAUGAGUCGCCCCUUUAGGGACCCGACCCAAUUAGGGCGGGUUACACCGCAGGCCAUAUCCCCAACAGGAUCCAGUUGAAACUGCGUUGUAUAAGCGGGCAUGCAAAACUCAUCAAGUACUAUACGUACACUUAACAUCGAGUAAGAAAAAUAGAAUUUAUAGUACAAGACAAUAACACUCACCUGAAGUUGUAAGAAAAUAAUAUUUUUGGAAGCGAAAAUGUAUAUAACGCGGUUGAUGUAGUCGUACCUCUUCACGAUCCAAUCGCGAUCCGUCCCGAUCUAGCGUCGAACGGACGACACCUCCGCGUUCAGCACACAUGCGGCUCGAUGAAGUAUCCGCCUCCUUGAUCCAGCAAGCAAGGGAGAAGAAGUAGAUGAGAUCUCGACCAACACAAUGGUAUGAUGGAGAUGAUGGUGGAGCAGUGCGAGAAGGGCUUCGCCAAGCGCCUCCGGAACUACGAAUGAAGAAGAACGGCAGAGACGGGAGGGAGAGGGCUGCCUCAAGGGAGAG